RNAcentral lists this ribosomal RNA (456 nucleotides) under uncultured bacterium. RNAcentral describes it as "bacterial SSU rRNA". It matches the Rfam family "Bacterial small subunit ribosomal RNA", at positions 340 to 786 of the family's 1533-position model. The record is from RNAcentral.
UACGGAAGGCAGCAGUGGGGAAUAUUGCACAAUGGGCGAAAGCCUGAUGCAGCUAUGCCGCGUGUAUGAAGAAGGCCUUAGGGUUGUAAAGUACUUUCAUCGGGAAGGAAAAAACAAAACUAAUAAUUUUAUUUCUUGACGUUACCCGAAAAAGAAGCACCGGCUAACUCCGUGCCAGCAGCCGCGGUAAUACGGAGGGUGCUAGCGUUAAUCAGAAUUACUGGGCGUAAAGAGCACGUAGGUGGUUUUUUUAAGUCAGAUGUGAAAUCCCUGGGCUUAACCUAGGAACUGCAUUUUGAAACUGAAAUACUAGAGUAUCGUAGAGGGAGGUAGAAUUCUAGGUGUAGCGGUGAAAUGCGUAGAUAUCUGGAGGAAUACCUGUGGCGAAAGCGGCCUCCUAAACGAAUACUGACACUGAGGUGCGAAAGCGUGGGGAGCAAACAGGGAUUAGAUACC